UUGCAAGCAGAGAAAAUCAUACCAUAUUGUACAUUUGUGUACAAAAAUAGAAAUAAUAUAAUUAGAAGUUCAGCGGACAUGAUAAAAUAAAUCAAUAGAACUAUUCUGCUUAUUAAAUUAAACAAAACAAACCUGUGAUCAUUAAUAUAAUUGCUAGCUAGAAGAGAAAAUCAUACCAAUGUUGUUGUUUGUUAAAGAGACUAAAUAGAUAAAAAUUGGGAUGUGUACAUUAAACAGCAUUAUGAUUUCACAGCACAUUUAACUUAUUGAACAUAAACAAUUACUAAAUGUAAAAUAACUCUCAAAAUACUUAUGUUAUGCAUUGUUAAAAACAUUCUAUGUAAUAAAAC
RNAcentral lists this long non-coding RNA (350 nucleotides) under Mytilus galloprovincialis (Mediterranean mussel). The record is from RNAcentral. Lineage: Eukaryota; Metazoa; Mollusca; Bivalvia; Mytilida; Mytilidae.